GUUGCCCAUGAUGAGUUGCGGAAUUAUUGCCUACAUUGUUUGACAAACAUCCCUGCGUGCACUCAGCAGCUGAGGCAUAC
Zea mays is the source of this 80-nucleotide non-coding RNA. The record is from Rfam. NCBI's taxonomy places the organism in Eukaryota, Viridiplantae, Streptophyta, Magnoliopsida, Poales, Poaceae.